UGGUCCUGACCUGACCUGUAUGUACCUGGUCCUGACCUGUAUGUACCUGGUCCUGACCUGUACGUACCUGGUCCUGACCUGUUUGUACCUGGUCCUGACCUGUAUGUACCUGGUCCUAACCUGACCUGUAUGUACCUGGUCCUAACCUGUAUGUACCUGGUCCUGACCUGUAUGUACCUGGUCCUGACCUGUAUGUACCUGGUCCUGACCUGUUUGUACCUGGUCCUGACCUGUAUGUACCUGGUCCUGACCUGUUUGUACCUGGUCCUGACCUGUUUGUACCUGGUCCUGACCUGUAUGUACCUGGUCCUGACCUGUAUGUACCUGGUCCUAACCUGACCUGUAUGUACCUGGUACUGACCUGUAUGUACCUGGUCCUGACCUGUAUGUACCUGGUCCUGACCUGUUUGUACCUGGUCCUGACCUGUAUGUACCUGGUCCUGACCUGUAUGUACCUGGUCCUGACCUGACCUGUAUGUACCUGGUCCUGACCUGUUUGUACCUGGUCCUGACCUGACCUGUUUGUACCUGGUCCUGACCUGUUUGUACCUGGUCCUGACCUGUAUGUACCUGGUCCUCACCUGUUUGUACCUGGUCCUGACCUGACCUGUAUGUACCUGGUCCUGACCUGUAUGUACCUGGUCCUGACCUGUAUGUACCUGGUCCUGACCUGUAUGUACCUGGUCCUAACCUGACCUGUAUGUACCUGGUCCUGACCUGUAUGUACCUGGUCCUGAUCUGUAUGUACCUGGUCCUGACCUGUAUGUACCUGGUCCUGACCUGUAUGUACCUGGUCCUAACCUGACCUGUAUGUACCUGGUCCUGACCUGUAUGUACCUGGUCCUAACCUGUUUGUACCUGGUCCUGACCUGUAUGUACCUGGUCCUAACCUGACCUGUAUGUACCUGGUCCUGACCUGUUUGUACCUGGUCCUGACCUGUAUGUACCUGGUCCUGACCUGUAUGUACCUGGUCCUGACCUGUAUGUACCUGGUCCUGACCUGACCUGUAUGUACCUGGUUCUGACCUGUACGUACCUGGUCCUGACCUGACCUGUAUGUACCUGGUCCUGACCUGUAUGUACCUGGUCCUAACCUGGCCUGUAUGUACCUGGUCCCGACCAGGUGGUUUAGUUUAAUGACCAGGUGGUUUAGUUUAAUGACCAGGUGGUGGCUAGUUUAAUGACCAGGUGGUUUAGUUUAAUGACCAGGUGGUUUAGUUUAAUGACCAGGUGGUUUAGUUUAAUGACCAGGUGGUGGCUAGUUUAAUGACCAGGUGGUGGCUAGUUUAAUGACCAGGUGGUUUAGUUUAAUGACCAGGUGGUGGCUAGUUUAACGACCAGGUGGUGGCUAGUUUAAUGACCAGGUGGUGGCUAGUUUAAUGACCAGGUGGUGGCUAGUUUAAUGACCAGGUGGUUUAGUUUAAUGACCAGGUGGUGGCUAGUUUAAUGACCAGGUGGUGGCUAGUUUAAUGACCAGGUGGUGGCUAGUUUAAUGACCAGGUGGUGGCUAGUUUAAUGACCAGGUGGUGGCUAGUUUAAUGACCAGGUGGUUUAGUUUAAUGACCAGGUGGUGGCUAGUUUAAUGACCAGGGGGUUUAGUUUAAUGACCAGGUGGUUUAGUUUAAUGACCAGGUAGUGGCUAGUUUAAUGACCAGGUGGUUUAGUUUAAUGACCAGGUGGUGGCUAGUUUAAUGACCAGGUGGUGGCUAGUUUAAUGACCAGGUGGUGGCUAGUUUAAUGACCAGAUGGUGGCUAGUUUAACGACCAGGUGGUGGCUAGUUUAAUGACCAGGUGGUGGCUAGUUUAACGACCAGGUGGUGGCUAGUUUAAUGACCAGGUGGUUUAGUUUAAUGACCAGGUGGUGGCUAGUUUAAUGACCAGGUGGUUUAGUUUAAUGACCAGGUGGUGGCUAGUUUAAUGACCAGGUGGUGGCUAGUUUAAUGACCAGGUGGUUUAGUUUAAUGACCAGGUGGUGGCUAGUUUAAUGACCAGGUGGUGGCUAGUUUAAUGACCAGGUGGUGGCUAGUUUAACGACCAGGUGGUGGCUAGUUUAAUGACCAGGAGGUUUAGUUUAAUGACCAGGUGGUUUAGUUUAAUGACCAGGUGGUUUAGUUUAAUGACCAGGUAGUGGCUAGUUUAAUGACCAGGUGGUGGCUAGUUUAAUGACCAGGUGGUUUAGUUUAAUGACCAGGUGGUUUAGUUUAAUGACCAGGUGGUUUAGUUUAAUGACCAGGUAGUGGCUAGUUUAAUGACCAGGUGGUGGCUAGUUUAAUGACCAGGUGGUUUAGUUUAAUGACCAGGUGGUUUAGUUUAAUGACCAGGUGGUGGCUAGUUUAACGACCAGGUGGUGGCUAGUUUAAUGACCAGGUGGUGGCUAGUUUAAUGACCGGGUGGUUUAGUUUAAUGACCAGGUGGUGGCUAGUUUAACGACCAGGUGGUGGCUAGUUUAAUGACCAGGUGGUUUAGUUUAAUGACCAGGUGGUGGCUAGUUUAAUGACCAGGUGGUGGCUAGUUUAAUGACCAGGUAGUGGCUAGUAUAACAACAGGUGAGUUACCCUUAUGACCCUCUACGAUAGACAUUCAGUUGUUCAGCUAGGGAGGAAUGCGUCACAAAUGGUACCCUAUAUAGUGCAGUACUUUUGACAAGGGCCCAUAGGUAGUGCACUAUGUAGGGAAUAGGGUGCCAUUUGGGAAUCCCUCAAGAGAUGUCCACAGGACACAGUGGAGUCAGUGCAGAACCAGUUCCUGAUUAUCGUGUGUAUAAUGUGUGUAUAAACAUGUAUAAACUGCUUAAUAAACAUGUAUAAACUGCUUAAUAAACAUGUAUAAACUGCUUAAUAAACAUGUAUAAACUGCUUACUAAACAUGUGUAAACUGCUUAAUAAACAUGUAUAAACUGCUUAAUAAACAUGUAUAAACUGCUUAAUAAACAUGUGUAAACAGCUUACUAAACAUGUAUAAACUGCUUAAUAAACAUGUAUAAACUGCUUAAUAAACAUGUAUAAACAGCUUACUAAACAUGUAUAAACUGCUUACUAAACAUGUAUAAACUGCUUACUAAACAUGUAUAAACUGCUUAAUAAACAUGUGUAAACUGCUUAAUAAACAUGUAUAAACUUAUAAUAACAGUCAUGGUUGAGUAGUUGACUUUAAAGGACCCAGAGAGUUACAUAGACAGAGGACCUUCAGUAUGCUGGACAACACUGGAAACAUGUUGGGCUCAAUAUACAUCAUCAUGGUAUAUUAUCUUAUAUAGUAAGUUAUCUUAUGUUAUACGCUUUGUAACAGAGCACCAUUACGUUUUAGUACUUUUUUCAAAGCUGGCUGGUUUGUUUACAAGUUCAUAUCAAGAGUGCUGGAGAUUCAGCCCGACUUUAAAAUAACACAGAAUCUAAGUGCUACAUUUCCUGAAAGCCCCGUAAAUGUAAACAUGUAUACAGAUGAACAUAAUAAACUGUCCAUAGCUGGUAAUAUUACAAGAGGCAAUAGUAUCAAAACAUUCCACCAAAAAGACUUGAAAGAGUAUUAAACAGUUUUAAAUAAUUCAUAUUAAAUAGUUAUCCUUCAGCAUCUUUUAGUGAUGUCGUUUUUUUUUUGAUCAAUUUAUAAUUCCUUGAAAGAAUCCUAGAUAUUUUUUUUUUAGAUCCGACAAAAUAUUUAAUUCAUGGUUUCCUCUAUUACAGUGGUCGCCAACCUUUUUUCAGAGUCAAAAUGCAAGCUGAGAUCAACCGUAAGCCUAUGCAACAUUAACCAAUUUAAAAACAGUUCUGGAUCAAUGAACCUCAUUCAUGAACCUCAUUGAUCCAGAACUGUUUUUUAAUUGGUUAAUGUACAGUAGUAAGCUAUAGGCUCAAUACAUUAUCACUGUAUACUGGCUAUGCUUGACUUGCCCUGCCAAUGUUAUUCUUCUGGGACCAUUUUGACAUUUUAUAUAUAAAAUGUUGGUAUAUGAUCAAACUGGUAAUAGAUCAUUUGUUGUAUCACUUGUGAGGUUACAGCUGACUGAGCAUAAUCAUAUAAUUUUUUUUUUUUAUUGGACUGAUGACCUGCAUCUGAUGGUUAGUCUGAGAGGAGGGAGGGAGA
RNAcentral lists this long non-coding RNA (4083 nucleotides) under Salmo salar (Atlantic salmon). RNAcentral's name for it is "lncRNA (ENSSSAG00000088269.1)". The record is from RNAcentral. Lineage: Eukaryota; Metazoa; Chordata; Actinopteri; Salmoniformes; Salmonidae.